GGAUGUGAGGGCCGUCUGUCACCUCAUUGAUCACCAGAAUUGAUUUGGCUGAUCUGGCUGCAUGGGCAGGUGUUCUCUUGUUCUCUCAAAGUUCCAGGUGCUACCUCAGGAAGCUGAGUGCCUGGUCUUCAGUGUUGAUCUCACAGCAGUCUAUGACACGGUCUGG
This 166-nucleotide small nuclear RNA is filed under the name Erinaceus europaeus (western European hedgehog). Its description in RNAcentral is "7SK RNA". It matches the Rfam family "7SK RNA", at positions 1 to 181 of the family's 331-position model. From Rfam's summary of the family: 7SK was discovered as an abundant small nuclear RNA in the mid-70s but a possible function has only recently been suggested. Two independent studies have found that 7SK RNA binds the CDK9/cyclin T complex (known as elongation factor P-TEFb). P-TEFb activates transcription by phosphorylating the C-terminal domain of RNA polymerase II. Lineage: Eukaryota; Metazoa; Chordata; Mammalia; Eulipotyphla; Erinaceidae. The record is from Rfam by way of RNAcentral.